Scomber japonicus (chub mackerel) is the source of this 858-nucleotide long non-coding RNA. RefSeq lists it as uncharacterized. The transcript has 3 exons. The record is from RefSeq and is a predicted model, not a curated record. Lineage: Eukaryota; Metazoa; Chordata; Actinopteri; Scombriformes; Scombridae.
UCAUCUGAUUGGAUUAUAAAUGGAUUUUAAUCGACAUCUUUUAUUCUUCAUUCAGACUGAUUUACUGCAGUUUGUCAGAGACCAGCUGUGCUUUUCUGGUCUCAGCUCUGAAGUCCAACUCCUCCCAUCUGAGAGAGCUGGAUCUGAGCUGGAACAAGUUGUAUGACUCAGGAGUGAAGCAGCUGUGUGGUCCAGACUGUAAACUGGAGGCUCUGAGAUUGUGUGGCUGCAGUUUGUCAAAGACCAGCUGUGAUUCUCUGGCCUCAGCUCUGAAGUCCAACUCCUCCCAUCUGAGAGAUCUGGAUCUGAGAGACAACAACCUGAAGGAUUCAGACAUGAAGCAGCUGAUUGAUCUUCAGCAGAGUCCAGACUGCAGACUGGAGACUCUGAGGUCAGGUUAUUGAUCUCUGUCAGAGUGAGAGUGAACAUCCAGGAGUGUUGAGAGAGGAUCAGCUGGAUCCUGAUGAUCCAUCUGGAGUCUGGGUCUGGAUUUUGUCGUCUUCACUUAAGUCUCUUAACUGACUCCAAACUGAACAGUUAUCUCUGGAUUUAGCUGAAGAUAAAAACAGGUGUUAUAAGUCAGACUGUGAGCCUGGGCUCAUAUUUAUCAAGCAUCUCAGAAUCACACUGAGAGUUAACGAGGACUAAAACUAAUGAAUGAAGCAGAAGAGAAUUGACUGUGACUUUCAGCAGGAGAAGGAUUACUGCUGGGAGAGAGUGAGACGUGGCUGUUUUACCACAGUCAGAGCAGCAGAGUAGAAAUAAUGAUGACGUGUUGUAGUUUUCUCACAGUCUCAGCUGGAAAUAUGAAACAGUGGUCAUUUGGUAUAUUAUGUGUAUAGACAGGUAACCAGGCAG